GAGCAAAACAUCCCACGUGAGUGCUUAAAAUCCCAUGGGUUCAGUGUAGAGACGUUGUCACGGAAUACGUCCUGCUCAGCUGUAGCUUCGAUGAGCUCUGCAGGAAGCUGAGAAGAUGAAGCUGCAGAUGCCUCUCCAGGGUGAGGUGGCGGAGACGUUGGAGUCAACCUGCCUGUCUAUAGAGACAUUCUUUGAAGAUCACCUUGCAACAGACAAUGAAGUCGACUUCAUCAGCGCACCAUUCGUACAACGCAAGGGAGACAAAUUCGAUGGGUUUGACGACAAACAAACUUUCUUCAGACCAUCAUUAAGAUCUUUACUUGUGAGUAUGUAGACAUAAAUUCAUGUCAAUUGCGCAGAUUGAUGCUCAUGCUUUUGAUCACUGGAUUGUCUGGUCCAGACUCGAUUAUUUACAGACC
This is a long non-coding RNA of Haliotis rubra (blacklip abalone), 419 nucleotides long. RefSeq lists it as uncharacterized. NCBI's taxonomy places the organism in Eukaryota, Metazoa, Mollusca, Gastropoda, Lepetellida, Haliotidae. The transcript is spliced from 3 exons. The record is from RefSeq and is a predicted model, not a curated record.